Molecule: ribosomal RNA, 477 nt
Filed under: uncultured bacterium
Lineage: Bacteria
Description: bacterial SSU rRNA
Rfam family: Bacterial small subunit ribosomal RNA
Source: RNAcentral
ACUCCUACGGGAGGCAGCAGUGGGGAAUAUUGCACAAUGGGGGAAACCCUGAUGCAGCCAUGCCGCGUGUGUGAAGAAGGCCUUCGGGUUGUAAAGCACUUUCAGUAGGGAGGAAGGUAGUGUAGUUAACACCUGCACUAUUUGACGUUACCUACAGAAGAAGCACCGGCUAACUCCGUGCCAGCAGCCGCGGUAAUACGGAGGGUGCGAGCGUUAAUCGGAAUUACUGGGCGUAAAGCGCAUGCAGGCGGCCUGUUAAGUCAGAUGUGAAAGCCCGGGGUCUUAACCUCGGAAUUGCAUUUGAAACUGGCAGGCUAGAGUCUUGUAGAGGGGUUAGAAUUUCAGGUGUAGCGGUGAAAUGCGUAGAGAUCUGAAGGAAUACCGAGUGGCGAAGGCGGCCCCCGUGGACAAAGACUGACGCUCAGAUGCGAAAGCGUGGGAGCAAACGAGGAUUAGAUACCCCGUGGUAGCGACUGA